GGGAUGUUGGAGAGGAGUAAGUACAGAGUUUGUUUGCUGCUGCAAAUUUCAGUUCCCAUUUGUAACUUCAUUAACAAAGAGCUCCCCAGAGUUCACUUUCUUUUUUGCUUCCUCUAUGAGAAUAUACGUAAAGUGAUUUAUGCCGUAUGGAUUCUUUUAUCUCACAUUUCCUUAUCUUAUGGUUACAUUCCUGUUUUAUUUCCCAUAUUUUUUUCAGUGCAAGAAGAGGAAGGAUUUA
This 238-nucleotide unclassified non-coding RNA is filed under the name Hevea brasiliensis (rubber tree). The record is from RNAcentral. Lineage: Eukaryota; Viridiplantae; Streptophyta; Magnoliopsida; Malpighiales; Euphorbiaceae.